RNAcentral lists this ribosomal RNA (292 nucleotides) under uncultured bacterium. RNAcentral's name for it is "partial 16S ribosomal RNA". It matches the Rfam family "Bacterial small subunit ribosomal RNA", at positions 505 to 796 of the family's 1533-position model. The record is from RNAcentral.
GUGUCAGCCGCCGCGGUAAUACGGAGGGUGCGAGCGUUGUUCGGAUUUAUUGGGCGUAAAGCGCGUGUAGGCGGCUUCUUAAGUCUGAUGUGAAAGCCCUGGGCUCAACCCGGGAAGUGCAUUGGAAACUGGGAAACUUGAAUACGGGAGAGGGUAGUGGAAUUCCUGGUGUAGGAGUGAAAUCCGUAGAUAUCAGGAGGAACACCGGUGGCGAAGGCGGCUACCUGGACCGAUAUUGACGCUGAGACGCGAAAGCGUGGGGAGCAAACAGGAUUAGAAACCCUCGUAGUCC